GACGAACGCUGGCGGCGUGCCUAAUACAUGCAAGUUGAGCGAUGAAGAUUGGUGCUUGCACCAAUUUGAAGAGCAGCGAACGGGUGAGUAACGCGUGGGGAAUCUGCCUUUGAGCGGGGGACAACAUUUGGAAACGAAUGCUAAUACCGCAUAACAACUUUAAACAUAAGUUUUAAGUUUGAAAGAUGCAAUUGCAUCACUCAAAGAUGAUCCCGCGUUGUAUUAGCUAGUUGGUGAGGUAAAGGCUCACCAAGGCGAUGAUACAUAGCCGACCUGAGAGGGUGAUCGGCCACAUUGGGACUGAGACACGGCCCAAACUUCUACGGGAGGCAGCAGUAGGGAAUCUUCGGCAAUGGACGAAAGUCUGGCCGAGCAACGCCGCGUGAGUGAAGAAGGUUUUCGGAUCGUAAAACUCUGUUGGUAGAGAAGAACGUUGGUGAGAGUGGAAAGCUCAUCAAGUGACGGUAACUACCCAGAAAGGGACGGCUAACUACGUG
Molecule: ribosomal RNA, 497 nt
Filed under: uncultured bacterium
Lineage: Bacteria
Description: partial 16S ribosomal RNA
Rfam family: Bacterial small subunit ribosomal RNA
Source: RNAcentral